CGGGCGAGUGGCGGACGGGUGAGGAAUACAUCGGAAUCUACUCUUUCGUGGGGGAUAACGUAGGGAAACUUACGCUAAUACCGCAUACGACCUACGGGUGAAAGCGGAGGACCUUCGGGCUUCGCGCGAUUGAAUGAGCCGAUGUCGGAUUAGCUAGUUGGCGGGGUAAAGGCCCACCAAGGCGACGAUCCGUAGCUGGUCUGAGAGGAUGAUCAGCCACACUGGAACUGAGACACGGUCCAG
RNAcentral lists this ribosomal RNA (243 nucleotides) under uncultured Lysobacterales bacterium. RNAcentral describes it as "uncultured Xanthomonadales bacterium partial 16S ribosomal RNA". It matches the Rfam family "Bacterial small subunit ribosomal RNA", at positions 88 to 334 of the family's 1533-position model. Lineage: Bacteria; Pseudomonadati; Pseudomonadota; Gammaproteobacteria; Lysobacterales. The record is from RNAcentral.